Molecule: long non-coding RNA, 919 nt
Organism: Sapajus apella (tufted capuchin)
Lineage: Eukaryota; Metazoa; Chordata; Mammalia; Primates; Cebidae
Exons: 2
Source: RefSeq, a predicted model, not a curated record
CCGGGAGUCCGCGCGCAGCGGAGCCGGGCAUGCUCAGUGCGCGGCCAAGGAGGCGAUGCUGGGCGCAGCACCUGCCUGGCCCUGCCGUGAGGAGGCAGCCCCAGGUCCCCACGCGCGAAACUAGGAAAGGGCACCUCGCCUGUUCCUCAGGCCAAAGGAAAAGAUCAACCAGAUUCUCGUGCAGGGACGUAGGGGUCAUCCUGCUCAGCGGCCAGGGAUAUGCCAAGGCGAUGUCUCCUUCAUUUGCAACCCGAGAAUCGGGGCACAAGGAGGCGCGACCUCCCGCGGUACUCAAACCUCUGGCCUCCGGGAUACGCGGAAUUCGGGGAAUCGUUAAGGCUCCCUGGCCAGGGAAACAAAUGUUUCUGCGUCUGGGCUGAAAAUUGCUGAACCGGGGAGUGUGGGUGGGCGGGUGGCACUGAACUUAAGCCAGAAGAGGGGCCUUUGGGAGCCUUUUACCUGCCUGCCCUUAGGCGGAAGACAUUGGCUAGACAGGCUGCGUUACAGACCUGAAGUCACCCGUGCAACGUGCUUUCAGAAGUGGCUCCCUUCACUCCCACUCCAAACCUGAGAGUAAGUAACCUUAGAGACUGGCAGCAAUGCCCCAGCCCCUCACCAGCAGUGUGCAAAGUGACUUUAACAGGCAGAGGAGAGCCAACCCAGUCGAACUCAUCUGGAAUACAUUUCGAGCAACCCAGAGAGAAGCCUCGGUUUCUCUGGGAAAAAGCCCCAAAGGUUUUGCUGAACCCAGGUCUUCCUGCUCAUCUCUCAGCGGUUCAGAGUUACAUAAACAACUUCUGACCAUUUACACACUCAUGUAAACCUAACCUGACAUCUCCAUUAUGUGGAAAAGAUGUUAACUGGAAAACUAUUUUUAAACUACUGUAGUAAGCAAAUAAACAUGCAACUCCAACAUAUA